AGCGUCCUGGUGGCCGCUGCCCAUUUGAAUGUUUCAUGCUGGAGCAUUUCGGAUUCUUGGUGGUGGAGACUGGAGCUUUGCGGGGCAUGGUGGCCUUUCCCUGAACUUCUUUCAGGCCAGGAGCCAGGGGGGCUGAAUUUAACCUCUUCCUCCAGUCUUGCUCCUUCUCGCGGGAUCCUGACGGUCUUGCCUGCAUUGACUGUAGCAGUUGCAGCCUGUCCUUUGCAGAUCUCUUCUGGGUCAGCCUUGAAUGCCACUUGUCACCAAAGCAUCCUGAUGAAGCAUCCUCAGGGAAACCAGGCCACAGAAGGAAUGGAGGGAUGAGAGCUGUGGCCCCUUCAACUGCAGCACACUCAGUUUGCACUCAGUGGGAGGCUGGGCAGGAAGGAGAUGAGUGUUGCAAAAGUGGAAAAGAGCGCCACUCAGAAUGAGUCCACUCCAGGCACCAGCAUCAGACACCAGACACCAGACAUCAACAGAACAUCAGACAGAACAUCUUAGGAAGCUAAGGAAAGCACAGCACAUUUAACACGUCUCUGCUGUUGGGUAGAUGAAAUGACAGGAGAUCAUCGGAGGCUAUCAUGGGAAGCCCAGCGGGUGUGGUUGCCACUUGACUUUCAUUGUGGAAUUGGAAUGAUUCGGUGUCUUCAGCUCAACAAACGCUUGACAAACGGCAAAAGGAGCCCCUUGAGAGCUCCAGCUUCCAUCAUCUCUGGAAGUUUCGCAUCAUCCUUGAAAUCUGUGGGAGGCUGAUGCCCCAGACAAGUCACCUGCGGAAUUCAGGAUCUUCAUGUUCAUCUUCAGCCACUUCUGGGCUAAGUUGGCAACAGAGAGGAGCCUUGGGAUCCCUGUUUCACCUGCUCCGCCUGGCACAUCCUCUUCCUGUACUCCGUGGGAACGUCUGUGGUUUCAUGGUGCCGCUCAGCUGUAAACGAUUUUAUGUACUUACAUUUGUGACUGGAAUCCUGUAGGGCAUUAUUCUGAUUAUAGCUCACCAUCCUUUUCAGCAGCUUUCAGAGAAGUAAUUUGUACAACGAGAUGAGGCUCUUCAGGCUGCAAGAAUGUCAGGAAUUCUCGGGCGCACCAGUGGCCCCUGCCUCCUGGAAUCCACAUGCUCUCGACUCUUUCUUAGGAGAGGGAUCAAGGGUCUGGUUUCCCCAAACACUUCCCAGGGGAGAUCCCACACAGAGCAUGUUUAAAUUGCCAAGCCACCUUGCAAAGGUCCUUUUCUCCCCCAAACUUCACUCAGCUCCCUUAAAAGUAGUUUUGGGUGAAUUUUAUGGUAUGUAAAUUAUAUCUCAAUAAAACUGUUACAAAAUAUAGUGGUUUGUAAGCUACCUAUAAUCAAACACUGAAAUGGAUGUAUCAUGCAGGUAAUCAGAGCUGUGCACCAAGGGGUGACCACGGGAGCUGUGGGCCAAGGGGAAGGUCUUGAGACAGACACUGAAUGACUGUAAGAUUUGAUUAGAAGAGGUGUCAGAAUUAAAAUCUGGGGCCAUCUGUCUAGAAUGAGCUAAGUUGUUUCCUUCCUCCCUCUCUCUCUCCUUUCUUCCCUCCUCCUUCUCCACCAUCUCUUUUAUUUUUCAACUAAUAAUGGCCCUGCUCAUUGAUAGGGGUGGGAUAUUGCCAGUCAUACUAUAGUUUGACAGUUCAUUCUUUGACGUGGACUCACUUCACAUCCUCGUGGAGGAUCCUGUGAGCCCCCGUAUCUGGCCUUUGCCCGCUGGGAAUUCACAGGCUCCGGGAAGAGGACACACCAUCUCGAACAUCAGUGUGCACUAAGGGGCAGCCCACCUGGAAGAGUGUGGGCAGCAGGCCGGGCAGGGGUCUGGGUUCCACAGCUCGAGGGGCAGUGAGAGGCUCUGUCCUGUGAAGGCACAAGAGGAGAGUGAGGUCUUCAAUCUCGUGACCUGGGGUCACAGGUGCCAGGCAGUUGGUUUGUUCCGUGUUCCCUGGGUGGGGCCAGUGCAUUUUGGGACCUGCCCUCAGCUGGGGCAGCAUUAGGUCAUGCGUGGGGUUUGCUGUGUUCUCCUAAAGUCACUCCUUUUUGACUUUCCAUAGAACCUGAUCUGGCUUUUCUGUCCCCAUCAUAUUCUCUUCUCAUAGAAACUUUUGUGCAAAAUAUAAUCUUAAUAUUUAAUUAUUAGUAUAAAUUCACCUUAACCUUAUAGUCAUCAUCAAUCUACCUUUUCAGUUAAUUUGUGUUGAUUAUAAAGAAGCUUAUAUGUAUGGCAUUUUGGUUUUGAAAGUUCCGGAUCAAAUGGCUGGAUUUUCUGCAAUGAGUCAUUCUGACUAAUUGUCUAGGAUGCCCUUUCACAAGGUCUGGGUCUGGCUCUCAUAUUGAAGUUGGGUUGCAGCCGUUUAAUAUUUUGCAUAGAAAACUGUUUUUAUGUGUUCUAAGGAAAUAGCCUACAGUGCUUUUUUCAACAGGUACUGUAAACAAAAUGAUCUUCAAAGGGCUUUCAAACACCCAUAUUUCAUUGUUUUAUGUAAAUUCCACACAUGUAAAUGAAGGGGGGACAUGAUCUCCUAUUUCUUACGUUUGGCAGAAGGCUACUAUUGAAGUCUGAUCCUUUCUCCUACUUUCUAUGCUAUAUGUUAUCUACUUUUUCUAACUUCUGCUGUUGAAUGCUCAGUUCAAUUAUUUUUAUUCUUUUCACUAAUGAAAUAAAGGCUAUUAAUUUUCCUCUGAGUUCACUUUUGGAUACAUCCCAUGAGAUUCUGUAUGAUUAUAUGAACAACUCAUAUUUUUCUCAAUAACAUACAAAAUCCAUUUAAUUCAAGAGUUUUGUAGGAGAAUUUUUUUUUUAUCUUCAUUUUAUUGAGAUAUAUUCA
Molecule: long non-coding RNA, 2835 nt
Organism: Choloepus didactylus (southern two-toed sloth)
Lineage: Eukaryota; Metazoa; Chordata; Mammalia; Pilosa; Megalonychidae
Exons: 5
Source: RefSeq, a predicted model, not a curated record